RNAcentral lists this long non-coding RNA (473 nucleotides) under Cairina moschata (Muscovy duck). Its description in RNAcentral is "domestica (muscovy Duck (domestic type)) lncRNA (ENSCMMG00000006481.1)". The record is from RNAcentral. Lineage: Eukaryota; Metazoa; Chordata; Aves; Anseriformes; Anatidae.
UUCAUUCAAGUCAAUUGUGUGAACAGGAGGAACGUGCAAUCAGAUUGGACCUAGUGCUUGGAACAGUAAUGCUCCAACCUGUGCUGAUAGUGCACAACAACUUUGAAGCAAACCCCUUGGUGGAGGAGACCUGUGUCACUCACAUGUUGCAUUGCUGAAAUUCAGAUAUUUUCCUGCUUUCUCCUCCUAAGAGCUCUGAAAUAUAAACCCUGCAGAAAGAAGUUCAGAGGUGGCUUUUGCCUUGGCUGUACUCCUUGGAACUGGUAAAAGGCAAACAAAGAGAGGAAGAAGCUUGAAAACCAUUACCUGUCUACUGCCUUCAGUCCUGCCAAGAGCUGCUGUGCCAAGAUAUUUUGUACCUCAAAGAUUUCUCCUCAUUUAAUACACUGGAAUCUCAGUGACCCCAGCAGAAAGAAAGCUGUUUGAAGUGUACUUGAGUGGAAGAAAAACAGAAGGUGUGUCCGAAGUAGCUU